Long non-coding RNA from Chelonoidis abingdonii (Abingdon island giant tortoise), 2345 nucleotides. Lineage: Eukaryota; Metazoa; Chordata; Testudines; Testudinidae. The record is from Ensembl.
UUUGGCAUUGCAGCAUGUUACUCAUGCCUUUAGGUACCUGGAUUAAUCCUUGAAUGCAUUUCUCCCCUUCCAGUUGUAAAUUGGGGGAGUCCAUCACACAGUUCAGCAAAGCCAUCUUAGAUAAAUUGAAAUACUUCUUCAAAGAUCUCAAGAACAAGCUCCGGGAAAAAGGCAGAAACACAGAGCCAGUAAACGUUAUUCAGAGGCAUCAAAUGGAAGCUGUCCAGGCUUUGCUGUGUAACUUUCUCCUGGAUCAGAUGGAGUACAUCAAUAAAAGGCAGCGCGGUAUAUCCCGUGUCCUGACACCAGAAAUACAGGCUAGCAUGAAACAGGCAUAUGCAGCUUGUAGCCAACUGAAUGGUCCUGGCUGUUUCCAGAGAAUGAAAGAUCUUAUGCAACGGCAUGUCCGCAAUCAGAAGGAGACCAUGUUUAACUGUGUCACUGAUAAAUUACGGCACCAGCUUGACCUGCUCCAGGUGUACAUCGGUGGUAGUUUUGAGUGCUUAGUUCAGGAACUGACUAAAUCCUUGAAACUGCAGUUUGAACCAAUGCUGAAGCCUGUCCAGAAAAAUGAUGGAAUUAUUCCAGAUUUUGUGAACAUCUGUGCCAAAGUCAGCAAGAUUUGUAAAAUAUCUCGUGUAGAUUAUGUUCUUCCCAACCUCAACCAGACAGAAAGCUGUUCUGUACCUGCUUUUCCUGGGAAAGAGCUGCCAUUAAAGAGGGAGCUGCAGGAAGGCUUGGAUCCCCCAGACUUCUUGGGAAAGUGCAAUAUCAUCCGCAUUGGGACCAUGUCACUCUCUCACAUUAAUCCCAUUCAGAUAUCUGUGCAAGAAGUCACGGUCACUAUGGCAGAUAAUACCACCAUGACUCUUCCGUUCAGCAGUGUGUAUCUCUGUGAAUGUUGCUUCCAUCUGUAUUAUUUGAUCCUUCAUCUCUCUCCUGAGUUUGCCAAGAACAUUUACUCCAGAUUGGGAGCCCAGGCAUCCAACCCAAGUAACCAGGAGGCUCUCAUUAUCCUGGACAAGCCCCAGGACCCAUCAUCUUUCCAUAGCUUGAUAGAAUUCAUUUCGGCAAGACAUGGGGGCAUACCUUGGUUCCGGGAACUAAAUCUGCAGCAGGGAAGAGAGAAACUGGAAUCUCUGGGGGUGUACUACACUGCCAAAGACUUAAAAUGUGAUGACGAAGAAAAGACUCUUGAGGUCCCACCUUCCAGUUUGCCAUCAGAUAAACCAACCUUUUUCACCAUUGCACAGCAGCCCCUGCUCCCUGGCAUGAAGUUAUAUCCAUAUGGCAGGAAGAGAGGAGGAGGAGAGAUCCAGUCACAGUUGGAGAAGAAGCACAAAGGCAAAACCAUAGAACAAAGCCCAGAAGUGGAGCCUGCUGGGUUCCAUCUACCAAGCCAACACAUUCCUGGCAGACUGGUCUCAGCCAGAAAGUCCAUGACGAGUCACCCACAGAAUGCAAGCGGAGAGUGUGCACCUGCAUUUUACGACUGGAAUACAACCUCCAUUCCAGGAACAUCUGUGUCUGAGGCACCACCCAGCUCUCAUGUAACUGUGAAGGAUGAAAGAGAUCUGUUUACCAUUCCAAGUGCAGCAGGUAUCCUCCAUGUCCGAGCCAAGGAGGGCGUUUGGGGAAAGUGGCGAAGUCCAAAUGCUCAGGAAGACAACAGUUCUGAUGUGGAUAAAAUAGAGACCAAUGGAAACACGCACACAGCAAAAGAUUCAUGGAGCUCACACUAGUUUGUUAUAAUACAAAGACUGUUACCUGACUUAUAUACACGCAAUAUAUGAAAUAUAUUGUCACUAGCAAAAGGCUGUAGAAAUAGACUCCUUCCAGCUGAAAAACUUCUGAAACUGAUUGUCAAGUAAUCUUACACUGAUAAUUUAAUACGAUUUACUGAGUGAAUUCUGAGCACUGUCUCCGAAGUAGCCUGCUGCAUCAGUGCCUCUUUUCAGAAUGGAAGAGUUUGCAUACAACAGAAGAGCUGAAGUAUCCAUUUGGACAAUAGUUGGCUGUUUCUUGAAAGAGAAAUUAAGUGAGUCAGCUGCAUGCAGAGACGCUAUACAUGGGACUCCCCCUUUGCUAAGACACUUGACCCUAGAAUGUAGCCAACAACUCUUUGCCAGUGAAAGCCAUAUUGGUAAAGAAAAACUUAAGAGUAACAGGCAAAGACUCAUCCAAAAUGCAUAGAGUCAAAUGCUAAGACACUGUAGCCUACAUAUUAAUCCAAAGCAAUAGAUCGUCGACCCACUGAUUUUUGGAGAGGAAAACAGAUUGUGAUUUGAUCAACAGAAAACUUCUGCAAUAAUAAAGAACAACUUCUUGUUGUUCCCUGUAAAUUG